AGCGUAGGCGGACUUUUAAGUAGGAUGUGAAAUACUCGGGCUCAACCUGAGUGCUGCAUUCCAAACUGGAAGUCUAGAGUGCAGGAGGGGAAAGUGGAAUUCCUAGUGUAGCGGUGAAAUGCGUAGAUAUUAGGAAGAACACCGGUGGCGAAGGCGACUUUCUGGACUGUAACUGACGCUGAGGCUCGAAAGCGUGGGGAGCGAACA
RNAcentral lists this ribosomal RNA (207 nucleotides) under uncultured bacterium. Its description in RNAcentral is "partial 16S ribosomal RNA". It matches the Rfam family "Bacterial small subunit ribosomal RNA", at positions 568 to 774 of the family's 1533-position model. The record is from RNAcentral.